This 244-nucleotide unclassified non-coding RNA is filed under the name uncultured Chaetosphaeriales. RNAcentral describes it as "sequence contains 5.8S rRNA gene, ITS2, 28S rRNA gene". The stretch from base 1 to 52 matches the Rfam family "5.8S ribosomal RNA", at positions 103 to 154 of the family's 154-position model. The record is from RNAcentral. Lineage: Eukaryota; Fungi; Ascomycota; Sordariomycetes.
AACGCACAUUGCGCCCGCCGGUAUCCCGGCGGGCAUGCCUGUCCGAGCGUCAUUUCAACCCUCAGGCUCCGCCUGGUGUUGGGGACCUGCGCCCGCAGCCCCCUAAAGUCAGCGGCGGGUGCGCCCUCGUACCGAACGCAGUAGCACAUCUCGUUCCGGUCCCGGGCGCUCUCCGGCCGUAAAACACGGACGAAAGUCCCCCACGGUUGACCUCGGAUCAGGUAGGAAUACCCGCUGAACUUAA